RNAcentral lists this ribosomal RNA (429 nucleotides) under Gemmatimonadota bacterium. RNAcentral describes it as "Gemmatimonadetes bacterium partial 16S ribosomal RNA". It matches the Rfam family "Bacterial small subunit ribosomal RNA", at positions 355 to 776 of the family's 1533-position model. Lineage: Bacteria; Pseudomonadati; Gemmatimonadota. The record is from RNAcentral.
UAGGGAAUCUUCGGCAAUGGACGAAAGUCUGACCGAGCAACGCCGCGUGAGUGAAGAAGGUUUUCGGAUCGUAAAACUCUGUUGUUAGAGAAGAACAAGGACGUUAGUAACUGAACGUCCCCUGACGGUAUCUAACCAGAAAGCCACGGCUAACUACGUGCCAGCAGCCGCGGUAAUACGUAGGUGGCAAGCGUUGUCCGGAUUUAUUGGGCGUAAAGCGAGCGCAGGCGGUUUCUUAAGUCUGAUGUGAAAGCCCCCGGCUCAACCGGGGAGGGUCAUUGGUAACUGGGAGACUUGAGUGCAGAAGAGGAGAGUGGAAUUCCAUGUGUAGCGGUGAAAUGCGUAGAUAUAUGGAGGAACACCAGUGGCGAAGGCGGCUCUCUGGUCUGUAACUGACGCUGAGGCUCGAAAGCGUGGGGAGCAAACAGG